Molecule: ribosomal RNA, 464 nt
Filed under: uncultured bacterium
Lineage: Bacteria
Description: partial 16S ribosomal RNA
Rfam family: Bacterial small subunit ribosomal RNA
Source: RNAcentral
CUACGGGAGGCUGCAGUGGGGAAUAUUGCACAAUGGGCGCAAGCCUGAUGCAGCCAUGCCGCGUGUAUGAAGAAGGCCUUCGGGUUGUAAAGUACUUUCAGCGGGGAGGAAGGGAGUAAAGUUAAUACCUUUGCUCAUUGACGUUACCCGCAGAAGAAGCACCGGCUAACUCCGUGCCAGCAGCCGCGGUAAUACGGAGGGUGCAAGCGUUAAUCGGAAUUACUGGGCGUAAAGCGCACGCAGGCGGUUUGUUAAGUCAGAUGUGAAAUCCCCGGGCUCAACCUGGGAACUGCAUCUGAUACUGGAAAGCUUGAGUCUCGUAGAGGGGGGUAGAAUUCCAGGUGUAGCGGUGAAAUGCGUAGAGAUCUGGAGGAAUACCGGUGGCGAAGGCGGCCCCCUGGACGAAGACUGACGCUCAGGUGCGAAGGCGUGGGGAGCAAACAGGAUUAGAUACCCUAGUAGUC